AGAGAGAACUUCUAUCAAAGCCUUAUAAAAAAGCAUGGUUUAGUGAAUUAUAAGCUGCUAACAAAUAGUUGAUGUUAAAACAAACAGCCAAAACAAAACCUGUCAAGAACAAUGAUUCUAUAUAGUUUCCCUCAUUAUAUAUGCAUACAUGUGUGUAUGUGUCUAUGUAGAAGUGCUUUCAAAAUAUUAUACUGUAGCUGGAAACUUUCAAUGGCCUGAGUUCUGGGACAAACCUUUUUCGCUUCAUCCCCUUCAU
RNAcentral lists this unclassified non-coding RNA (256 nucleotides) under Hevea brasiliensis (rubber tree). The record is from RNAcentral. Lineage: Eukaryota; Viridiplantae; Streptophyta; Magnoliopsida; Malpighiales; Euphorbiaceae.